AUACGUAGGUGGCAAGCGUUGUCCGGAUUUACUGGGUGUAAAGGGCGCGUAGGCGGCCGAUUAAGUCUGGAGUGAAAGUCCUGCUUUCAAGGUGGGAAUUGCUUUGGAGACUGGUUGGCUUGAGUGCGGAAGAGGUAAGUGGAAUUCCCAGUGUAGCGGUGAAAUGCGUAGAGAUUGGGAGGAACACCAGUGGCGAAGGCGACUUACUGGGCCGUAACUGACGCUGAGGCGCGAAAGCGUGGGGAGCGAACAGGAUUAGAUACCCUGGUAGUCCACGCGGUAAACGAUGAAUGCUAGGUGUAGGGGGUAUCGACUCCCUCUGUGCCGCAGUUAACACAAUAAGUAUUCCGCCUGGGGAGUACGGCCGCAAGGUUGAAACUCAAAUGAAUUGACGGGG
This 397-nucleotide ribosomal RNA is filed under the name uncultured bacterium. Its description in RNAcentral is "partial 16S ribosomal RNA". It matches the Rfam family "Bacterial small subunit ribosomal RNA", at positions 523 to 918 of the family's 1533-position model. The record is from RNAcentral.